UACAGAGGUCUCAAGCGUUGUUCGGAUUCAUUGGGCGUAAAGGGUGCGUAGGUGGCGCCGUAAGUCAGGUGUGAAAUUUCGGAGCUUAACUCCGAAACUGCAUUUGAUACUGCGGUGCUUGAGGACUGGAGAGGAGACUGGAAUUUACGGUGUAGCAGUGAAAUGCGUAGAUAUCGUAAGGAAGACCAGUGGCGAAGGCGAGUCUCUGGACAGUUACCGACGCUGAGGCACGAAGGCCAGGGGAGCAAACGGG
Molecule: ribosomal RNA, 253 nt
Filed under: uncultured bacterium
Lineage: Bacteria
Description: partial 16S ribosomal RNA
Rfam family: Bacterial small subunit ribosomal RNA
Source: RNAcentral